Molecule: ribosomal RNA, 449 nt
Filed under: uncultured bacterium
Lineage: Bacteria
Description: partial 16S ribosomal RNA
Rfam family: Bacterial small subunit ribosomal RNA
Source: RNAcentral
AACGAGCGCUGGCGGCAUGCCUAACACAUGCAAGUCGAACGAGACCUUCGGGUCUAGUGGCGCACGGGUGCGUAACGCGUGGGAAUCUACCCUUGGGUUCGGAAUAACAGUUAGAAAUGACUGCUAAUACCAGAUGAUGACGUAAGUCCAAAGAUUUAUCGCCCAAGGAUGAGCCCGCGUAAGAUUAGCUUGUUGGUGGGGUAAUGGCCUACCAAGGCGACGAUCUUUAGCUGGUCUGAGAGGAUGAUCAGCCACACUGGGACUAAGACACGGCCCAGACUCCUACGGGAGGCAGCAGUGGGGAAUAUUGGACAAUGGGCGAAAGCCUGAUCCAGCAAUGCCGCGUGAGUGAUGAAGGCCUUAGGGUUGUAAAGCUCUUUUACCAGGGAUGAUAAUGACAGUACCUGGAGAAUAAGCUCCGGCUAACUCCGUGCCAGCCGCCGCAGUAA